CCUACGGGUGACAGCAGUGGGGAAUAUUGGGCAAUGGGCGCAAGCCUGACCCAGCAACGCCGCGUGAAGGAAGAAGGCCUUCGGGUUGUAAACUUCUUUUCUGAGGGACGAAGAAAGUGACGGUACCCCAGGAAUAAGCCACGGCUAACUACGUCCCAGCAGCCGCGGUAAUACGUAGGUGGCAAGCGUUAUUCGGAAUGAUUGGGUGUAAAGGGCGUGUAGGCGGGCAAGCAAGUAAGAUGUGAAAACUCAGGGCUCAACCCUGAGCCUGCAUUUGAAACUGUUUUUCUUGAGUGCUGGAGAGGCAAUCGGAAUUCCGUGUGUAGCGGUGAAAUGCGUAGAUAUACGGAGGAACACCAGUGGCGAAGGCGGAUUGCUGGACAGUAACUGACGCUGAGGCGCGAAAGCGUGGGGAGCAAACAGGAUUAGAUACCCCAGUAGUC
RNAcentral lists this ribosomal RNA (443 nucleotides) under uncultured bacterium. RNAcentral's name for it is "partial 16S ribosomal RNA". It matches the Rfam family "Bacterial small subunit ribosomal RNA", at positions 338 to 795 of the family's 1533-position model. The record is from RNAcentral.